UGAGGAAUAUUGGUCAAUGGGCGCAGGCCUGAACCAGCCAAGUCGCGUGAGGGAAGACGGUUUUCGGAUUGUAAACCUCUGUCUUCGGGGACGAAAAUGACGGUACCCGAGGAGGAAGCCACGGCUAACUACGUGCCAGCAGCCGCGGUAAUACGUAGGUGGCAAGCGUUGUCCGGAAUUACUGGGUGUAAAGGGAGAGUAGGCGGGAUUGCAAGUCCGUUGUUAAAUCUAUCGGCUUAACCGGUAGCUGCGGCGGAAACUGUAGUUCUUGAGUGAAGUAGAGGCAGGCGGAAUUCCUAGUGUAGCGGUGAAAUGCGUAGAUAUUAGGAGGAACACCAGUGGCGAAGGCGGCCUGCUGGGCUUUAACUGACGCUGAGGCUCGAAAGUGUGGGGAGCAAACAGGAUUAGAUACCCUGGUAGU
RNAcentral lists this ribosomal RNA (421 nucleotides) under uncultured Oscillospiraceae bacterium. Its description in RNAcentral is "bacterial SSU rRNA". It matches the Rfam family "Bacterial small subunit ribosomal RNA", at positions 355 to 794 of the family's 1533-position model. The record is from RNAcentral. Lineage: Bacteria; Bacillati; Bacillota; Clostridia; Eubacteriales; Oscillospiraceae.